Molecule: non-coding RNA, 3537 nt
Organism: Vicugna pacos (alpaca)
Lineage: Eukaryota; Metazoa; Chordata; Mammalia; Artiodactyla; Camelidae
Source: RefSeq, a predicted model, not a curated record
UCCCUGACCGAUGGUGCUCCUCUGCUAUCCCUGCGCCGGGUGCUGCGCUCCUACACCAAUAGCUGUAGCCCCGGCAGCCGUGCCCAUGCAGGCCAGUUGGGGGAGGGGUGCCUCUUAGGGGUCCAGAGUGCUCUUAGGGCUGCUCUCCCCUCCCGGUACUUGCACCGGCUUGUCCCCUACAGCCCUCGAGCCAAAAGGAGGCACGGCCCAGACAGAUGCUGGUUACAGACCAGGACGUCUCUCCAAGCCUCCGUCUUUGCACCUGCUAUUACAGCCUGAAAGACCUAAGAAGCAGAGGUUCUGUACCCUAUUCUGCGCCCCCUUUUCCGCAGGAGUUGUCCUUGAUGCAAACCCUGACUCUUCUCCAGGACAAGGGGGCCUGGAGGUCCCCUUCUCUGUCUCAAUGCCCAGGGCAGAGGCUGGGUAUAUUUGUAUAAUUCCUGGAUGGGAGAGCAACACCCUUGACCUCCGACCCUGGCACCCUAGGGCACUGGCCUGGUCUUUGGGAUGACUCCAGUUUCAGAACCGUUUAAGUUGGAGCUCUCCGCACUUACCUAGUGAUCUGGUAAAGUUAUCAAUUCAGCCCCUAUUUCACCCCCAACCUUCACCAGAAGUUCUGAUUCAGCAAGUCAGGGGAUGAGACCUGAAGUGUGCAGUUUUCAGAACUCCCCCAGGAAAUUCAGGAACCACUGCCAGAGGCCACACACGCCCAUUGCCUUGGGUCCCUGCCCCUGGCACUCCCAACAGCCCUUGCGAAAUACUCCACGGUCCCCGUGGGGGUGGCCUUCUCUUGGGGAAGGGGGAGGGCGAUUGUUUAAAGUCUCUGCUGGGAGAGAAUCGGCCGUAUCAUGGGCCAGUCCCAUUCCUUGCAACUGGGCAACAGCAAGGACUAGAAGUAAAGCCAGAAGGUGCUGUUUAUUUCAACACAGGCUGCAAAGGCCACGCUGGGUGUGUUCUCAGAGGCUACAGAUAAUUUAGCUAGAAGGGAGAGAAAUCCUAGCCCAUGAUUUGAGUGCAGUGUUGAGAAGAUCCAUGGGGGGAGAGGGGAGGGGGGAAGGGCAAGGGUAUCUAAAAUCAACAAGGAAUCCAGUCGAGAAAACUUCCCAAAUGUUCACCCCUCCUCAGCUCUUUGAGGCAACUCGAUACAGCAAACUCCAAAGUUUCAUGUCGUCUAAAAGGGAACAGAAUCAUUUCCUCCUAAGUCAGUAAAGCAUCACACCAAGAGAGCAUGGCACACCCUCCCACCCACCCCUGUCCCCAGCAGAGAGGGGAAGGAAAUGUAAGGGGGGCAGGGAUAGAGAAUGAGGCUUUUAGAGACUGAAUCCUUCAUAACUGGAGGAGGAGGGGCCUAUCUGUGCGUCUAGUGGGGGAGGGGCAGGUAAUGGCUGCACAGAGUAGUUUCCCACAGGGCUGGUAAGUGGCUUCGCCAGGAUCUGCCUUACUGGUGGAGUCCACUCAGGAGAACAGGCAGUUUUUGGAGUCACUGAGACCACUCACAAACGAACAAACUAACAACAAAACCGCUGUUUCAUACGGUACUUUCUUGAACUUAGCAUUAAUGAGCCUUCACUUGAACUAAAUGGAAUGAGUCAGCGAGGCCCACAGGCCCAAAGAAUCCCAGCAUCUAUUUCUAAGCAAAAGAGGCAGGCUUACAGGCAGCUAAUCCGUUUAUGUAGAGGAUCUCAGGGUACUUACCAGCCCCUCCCCAACUAACAACCCGGUUUUCUCCAAUAGUGCAUUGAGUGCACAACUAAUCCUGACCAACCAGACCUAAGCCAAUGUUUCCCUGUGACCAGAUGGAGGGUUUCAAAAUGCCAUUCCUUGUUGUCGCACCAAAUCAUCUUUCAAUUCAUUGGUGAACAAGGUCUAAAGAGUCAGAGAGACCUGCAGAGUUUUCUGUCAGGUGGGGGUCACUUGCUGCCGGCUGGCUUGCCCUGCCUCCCCCGAAAGGACUUAGAACAAACAGUGCGCUUUCUCAGGCAGAGAGAGUUUCCAACCUUCAUCAAGUACAUUGCCUAGAGAAGAAGCCAAAAAAGGUAUCAUUCUAAAUUAAGAUGGCAGUAAAUACCUCCUUCUGGAGAGAUGGAAGCCAGUGGCUCCUGGGCCCGUGCACUAUUUAAAAUAGGUUAUUGUUGCCUUGGGCUGACAUUUUGUCUUUAGGGUAAGACAGAAACGCAGGAAACAAAAACUGUGUGUGUGUGUUGCUUUUCUUCUUGAAGAGGAAAACACAAGCUAAGUCUAUAACUGGAACUUGGCGAUGAAGGAAACCUGGUGGGGUUUUACUGGAAGAAAGUGGCCGCCAAGCCGCCUGACCAUCGUCUUCGCUUUGCAAAUCUGGUUUUCAUAUUCUCGCUCAGUAAUCACCCAAAGCUAUAACUGUCUCUGAAAUUAUUCAUUAAAGUCAUUUUCAGGGAUUCUCACAGGAUGACUCUUUUACGUUUACGAUCUUCUGAGAGCAAUGACAUCAGCCUCUGUCUCUUUUCCGCUUUUAAUUAAUGUGCUGGGAAGACCAGAGGGGCCGGGGCUGUGUCCGAGGGGAGGGGGCGGGGUGGGGGUGGAAUUCGCCGGCCGCUCUGCUCCCAGCGCGGUCAGCUGAGCCCGGGCGCGCAGACAUCCUUUGAUUAAGGAGGGUAUUUCGGGGAGUGCAGGCUGUGCAGAAGAUCAGGGCUGUGCCCUGUGGUGCUGUCAGCAGUGACAGAUCCCAGAUGGGGCCGCUACUGUAUGGCAGAUUGAGUUUCUCAGCAGAAAACUCACCCUCCCUCCUAAACGUCUUCAAAAACCUUCUCCAGAUACUCCAGGUCGCUUCGUGUAAAACUGAAAAAGUCCAACCCCAAAGUUGGUUUUGCGGCUACCCGGCUGCUAAGAGCGCAGACCUGGCGGGCCUGGUGGUUCCUGUUCUCCCGCCUGCAGCGCCGCGCCGUCGACUCAGCACCGCGGGGCCCGAAGGCAAUCCGGUGAGCACACUGGAGCCCAGAGAGCUGAUCUCUCCAGGUCGCCCAGCUGCAUAACCCGGGAUGGCUUCCUGCCCAGUGCUGUACUCCACUGUAACUGCAGAGAUGGGACCUACCAGUCUCUGUCGAGUGUAGGUGAGCAUGGAUCGAGUCUUUGGGAUAUCUCCUUCUGCUGCCCAACCAUCUGCACCCCUCACCCCACUUUCUGAUUCAAAAUAUUGGUAACUGGACCAGAAUAUAAUAUUCUUGGGUUCAGGAGUGCAAAUUUAAAGCAAAACUCAAAGUCAGUACCAUGUCACCUGUGCUGUGUUCCUUUAAACCUACCAACCCUAUUGUGUGGACUCUGAGCCCACAAGGACCUUUGGGACAAGGUUAUGUUUCCUCUAGUGAGGAUAUAGCAGCAAAUCUCACUUGUUUUUAGAGUCUUGAAUUCAAUGUAAGAGAAGUAAAAAUUCAUGAUCAAACUUAAUAAAGAGGCAAACUAAAAAUUAAUAAAUUUGUAAGUCAAUGUUCAGGAUAAUAUUCAACUGAUCCGUUCUCCUCACACAACAAACUCCCAAAUUAUUAACAUUGGAGGCAGGUGGAA